Molecule: ribosomal RNA, 1350 nt
Filed under: Pheosiopsis cinerea
Lineage: Eukaryota; Metazoa; Arthropoda; Insecta; Lepidoptera; Notodontidae
Description: 16S ribosomal RNA
Source: RNAcentral
GGGGGAAAAUUAAUUAUGAAGUAAUAAAAAAAAUAAUUUUAAUAUUAAAAUAUUUAAUGGGGGUUAAAGUAUUUUAAGAAAAAAAAUUAUAAAUUUUAUAGGGAAUUAGUAUUGUGAAAGAAUUUUGAAAUAUUUUAAAUAUUAAAUUAUUUGAAAAGUAAUUUUAGUUUAUUGUAUCUUGUGUAUCAGAGUUUAUUAAUUUAUUUUUAUGUGUAAGAUUUCUCGAAUUUAAAAGAGAUAAUUGAUUAUUAAAGUUAUUGUUGCAAAAAUAUUUUAAAUAAUUAAUUUGAAAUGAAAUGUUAAUCGUUUUUAAAUAUAUCUAGUUUUUCUAGAAAAAAAUUUAAUUUUAAAUUUUUUUAAGAAAUUAAUAAUUGAUAAUUAAUUUUUAGUAAAAGUUUUAUAUUUUAGGGGAUAAGCUUUAAAUUAAAAUUAUAUAAUUAUAUUAAUUUUAAAUUUGAAAAUUUUAUAAUUUAUAUUGUUAAUAAAUUUUAUUUUAUUAUAAAUAAUUUCAUUUAAUUAUAAAAUUUAAUAAAAAUUUAUUUUUUUAUAGAAAAGUAAUUUAAAUUUUUUUAAAAUUAAUUAUAAUGAUAAAAUUAGUAUAUAAUUAAUUAUUUAUAAUUUAUUUUUUAUUAGGAAAAUUAAAUAAAAGGAAUUCGGCAAAAAUUUAUAUUCACUUGUUUAUCAAAAACAUGUCUUUUUGUUUAUAAUUUAAAGUCUAAUCUGCCCACUGAUUUAAAAAUUGAAGGGCUGCAGUAUUUUGACUGUACAAAGGUAGCAUAAUCAUUAGUCAUUUAAUUGAUGACUUGUAUGAAGGAUUGGAUGAAAUAUAAUCUGUCUUUUUUUUAAUUUAUAGAAUUUAAUUUUUUAAUCAAAAAGUUAAAAUAUUAUAAAAAGACGAGAAGACCCUAUAGAGUUUUAUAUAAAAAUUAAUUGAGGUUAUUUAUAAUUUUAAAAUUUAAAUUAUUUUUUAAUAUUUUGUUGGGGUGACAAAAAAAUAAAUUUAACUUUUUUUAAUAUUUUACAUAAAUAAGUGAAUAAUUGAUCCAAUUAUUUUGAUUAUAAGAAAAAAUUACCUUAGGGAUAACAGCGUAAUUUUUUUUUUUAGUUCGAAUAAAAAAAAAAGUUUGCGACCUCGAUGUUGGAUUAAGAUAAAAUUUAAAUGUAGAAGUUUAAAAUUUUGAUCUGUUCGAUCAUUAAAAUCUUACAUGAUCUGAGUUCAGACCGGUGUAAGCCAGGUUGGUUUCUAUCUUUUAUAAAAUAAAAUGUUUUAGUACGAAAGGAAUAAAUAUUUAAAUUAAAUUUUGUUAAGGAAUAUUAUUAAUUAAAUAUAAUAGAUAUAGUUUUUAUAAA